AUACAGGUGUUGCAUGGCUGUCGUCAGCUCGUGUCGUGAGAUGUUGGUUAAGUCCCGCAGCGAGCGCAACCCUCGCCAUUAGUUGCCAUCAUUAAGUUGGGCACUCUAGUGGGACCGCCGGUGGGUAAGCCGGAGGAAGGUGGGGAUGACGUCAAGUCCUCAUGGCCCUUACGGGGUGGGCUACACACGUGCUACAAUGGCGACUACAGAGGGCAGCAAGCCAGCGAUGGGAGCUAAUCCCUAAAAGUCGUCUCAGUUCGGAUUGCACUCUGCAACUCGAGUGCAUGAAGUCGGAAUCGCUAGUAAUCGCGGAUCAGCAUGCCGCAGUGAAUACGUUCCCGGGCCUU
RNAcentral lists this ribosomal RNA (347 nucleotides) under uncultured Phenylobacterium sp. Its description in RNAcentral is "bacterial SSU rRNA". It matches the Rfam family "Bacterial small subunit ribosomal RNA", at positions 1032 to 1382 of the family's 1533-position model. Lineage: Bacteria; Pseudomonadati; Pseudomonadota; Alphaproteobacteria; Caulobacterales; Caulobacteraceae. The record is from RNAcentral.